CUGAUGAUCUGUUGGUGUUAGAGAAUAAUCAGCAGAUUAAGCACUAAUGAGCAAAAAGGUAUGUAGGGCAAUGCACGGCUCUAAACAAAGGAAAGUCAUUCAGUUCUUUGGCACCGGAAAGUCUUAGCAAGUGUUUUCCUCCAAUUCAUCAGCCAAACAAAUGGAAGGAGUAAUUAGAAGCAAAGCAGAGGCUUUGGCAGCAGGCUCUCAUUUUCUAAACUAGAAGUAAACAAUCAUGUCUAAAUCCUAUUGCUGCUCCAACUACAACUGCUUUAACUUCAUGAUAUAUGCUGGUCUCUGUCCUUCAGUUCACCUUGACUCAUCUCAGGAACACACUCUCAUCUGCAGUGCUGCCCUGAGCCCUUCAGUGCUCCCUGGUUCCCUGGCUACCUGAAGCAUUUGUCUCCUGAACAACAAUCAAAUCAGGAAGUUUUCCAGGACUGCGUUUGAAGGACUUGAAAAUUUGCUCUAUCUGUACCUGUACAAGAAUGAAAUUCAUGCACUAAAAUAAGCAAACAUUUAAGGGGUUUACAUCCUUGGAAUAGCUGUGCCUGGAUUUCAACCCUCUGGUUUGUGACUGCAAUUUAAAGUGGCUGAGGAAAAUUUUACAAGACUAUGCCCAAAAUGGCCCAGCUCAGGUGUCUGCUAUUUGUGAAUCCCCCCGAAGACUUCAUGUCUCUGUUGCUUCAGUAACACUUAAGGAAUUUAAUUAUGAAAGUGCUUGAAUCACCUUUGCACCUCAUGAUGUGGAGGUAACAUCAGGAAAUACUGUCUACUUCACUUGCCGAGCUGAAGGAAACGCUAUAGCCAAAAUCACCUGGAUAGAUAAUAAGUAAAUACUGUACUGAACAUGGGCAUGUGUUGUAAUUCUCAUUUCAGUAAUCCUUUUGUCUUACUUCAGAUCCUUUGUCUAGAGAAAUAUUACCAGAAUUAUUAGAAUUUAUUAGAGACAAAAAUGCCUCUUAGCUGUUAGCUUUUUAAAAAUUUUAUUAUUUUUUUAUUUUAUAAAAUAAGAAUAAAAAUGAUGAUACAGAAUUCAAAACAAAAUAAUAGGAGAUUAACAAUGGUUAAUAUAUGGUAUAUUGUUACCUUCAAAGUAGUUUCUUAGAUUGUAAUAUGUAGACAUGAAAGAUUGAUCAAAUAAUGAAAGCACAAAUGAUAGAUACUGAUAGAUUAUAUUACUAGUCUUUAUUAGUUGAUCACAAACAAUAUAUAUAUAUAUAUAUAUAUAUAUAUAUAUAUAUAUGUGUGUGUAUGUAUUUUUUCCUUCUUUCUUUUCUCUUUCCCCUCAUCUCAGUUGUUUUUCCCUUUUGAGCAGUUUCUUCCUCUUUCACUUUCACAAUAUCUGUAAUGUAUUUUUGGCUCUUAUUUAUUCUUUCAGUUUUUUACACUAGAGAAACAAUACGAUGUUUACACAUGCAAUUCGAAUUUAUUUUACCUGUUAGUUUUUUUUUAAUUAAAUAAUUUUUUAAUUAAUAAGGGAGAGGAUGAGAUAAAAGGGGACAUAACAACAUAACAAUACAGGUUAAACUAUGACACUUUCAGCAACCUAGUGCUUCACCACCAAAUAACCCGACUUAAUAGUAGUUACCAUAGAGUCUUUUUCUUUGAAAUAUUUGAAUAUAACUUCAUAUGCUAUAGCAUCAAACAUAUCAAGACUGUGUAACACCAUUCAAGUGAUGAAAGCAUUGUAGAGUAUUUAGAACCAGCUAACAGAAUAAAUCAUCAAUUGUUUCUAUAUUAUCUCUUUGCCUAUAACAAUACUUGUUUAUACUACCACAUACGAUAAAAUCCAGCAAGUUACAACAUAAUAAAAUCAGUGAGAGACAGAAGAGCCAUAGUUUGGUGUGGCUUUAAGACAAGAUGGUAUUAAAUCAGCACUAGCUAUCAUGAUGUCUUAUUUUCUUCAAAGUAGCUGUUCUUUGCAUCACAGGCCAUAAUAUCAAACAGCCCAGAAUAAAGCCAUUCCAAUUAAUGAGUGAAUAUUUUAUAAGGCUUCAAGGCCACAUAACGGGGAAUCAUGGUUAUCACGUACUUUUAUAUAUUUGGAUCAUUUCCUACACUAGGGAAACUAUUCGGUGUUCACAGAUGCGAGUUUGAUUUAGUUCACUUAUGAGUAUGGUUUCAAGCUGUGCCCAUUUAUUGAUAAAUACCUCAAUGUGAUCCUUCUUUAUAGCUGAGUAGUACUCCAUUGUAUAGAAAUACCACAGCUUUUUUAUCCAUUCCUCAGUUGAUGGAUAUUUGGGUUGUUUCCAAGAUCUGGCAAUUACAAAUCGUGCUGCUAUAAACAUAGGUGUGCAUAAUCACUGUGGUAUGAUGCUUUCAGUUCUUCUGGGAAGAUGUCUAGAAGUGGAAUAGCUGGAACAAAUGGGACUUCCAAUCCCAGCUUUUUGAGAAAUCUCCAGACUGACCUCCACAAAGGUUGUACCAUUGUACACUCCCACCAACAGUGUAGGAGAGUUCCUUUUUCCCCACAGCCUCUCCAGCACUUGUUGUUGUUGGUUUUCUUGAUCCUGGCCAUCCUUUCAGGAGUGAGAUGGAAUCUCAGUGUGGUUUUAAUUUGCAUUUCCCUAAUAACCAAUGAUGAUGAACAUUUUUCAUGUAUUUAUUUGCCAUUUGUAUUUCUUCCUCUGAGAAGUGUGUAUUCAUCUCAGAUGCCCAUUUUUGGAUUGGGUCUUUGAAUUUUGGGGGUCUGUUUUUUUUUAAUUCUUUAUAUGUUUUAGACAAAAGUCCUUUGUCUGAGGGGGAAUUCACUAAGAUCCUUUCCCAAUUUGUGGGUUUUCUUUUCGCUAUGCUGGAGAUUUUUUUUGAUCUUACUUACAGAAAGUUAAAUUAAAAAGUUACUUACAGAAACUUUUUAAUAAGAGGUGGUCCCAGUUAUUGAUUCCGGGAAGUAUUUCCCAUGCAGUUUGAGUCCUGUUCAUGAAUUCUCUACCUACCCCUAUGUCUUCAAGGUUUCUACCUAAUUUGUCUUCCAAUAGAUUUAGUGUUUCUGUUUUAAUAUUCAGAUCUUUGAUCCAUUUAGAUUUUAAUUUAGUACAUGAUGAUUCGCUUGGGUUGAGUUUUAGUUUUUGGCAUUGGAGAGCCAGUUUUUCCAACACCAUUUAUUAAAAAGACUGUUGUUUUUCCAGUGAACCUGCUUGGCUCCUUUAUCGAAGAUAAGGUGGUUGAGUGUGUUUGUAGAUGUGGUUGUAUCUUCUAAUCUAUUCCAUUGAUCCUCUGCUCUGUUGUGAUUCCAGUACGAUGUUGAUUUUACUACUGUUGCUUUGUAGUAUAACUUCAAGUCAGGGAUUGUGAUGCCUCCUGCCUUGCCUUUGGUGCUUAGAAUUGCCUUUGAUAUUCUAGGUCUCUUCAGGUUCCAGAUGAACCAUAGGAGUGAUUUCUCUAGAUCUAUAAGGUAUGUUGAUAAUAUUUUUAUUGGAGUUGCAUUGAAUCUGUAUAACAGUUUUGGGAGAAUGGCCAUUUUCACAAUGUUUAUUCUUCCUAUCCAUGAACAUGGGAUGUCUUUCCAUUUUCUGAGAUUAUCUUCAAUUUAUUCUUUCAGUGUAUUAUAAUUUUCCCUGUAUAGGUCUUUCACUUCUUUCAUAAGAAUAAUUCCUAAAUAUUUCAUUUUUUUGCUUGCUAGUGUGAAGAGUGUGGCUUCUCUUAUUUCUCUCUCUGUGAUUUUGUUGUUAGUGUAUAAGAAUGUUAUUGAUUUCUGAGUAUUGAUUUUGUACCCAGCUACAUUACUGAAUUUAUUUAUUAUAUCUAAGAGUCUUUCAAUGGAGUUUAGGGGGUCUUCUAUGUAGAGUAUCAUGUCAUCUGCAAAUAAUGACAAUUUAACUUCUUCUUUUCCUAUCUUUACCCCUUUUAUUUUUCUCUCUUGUCUAAUUGCUCUGGCUAGUACUUCCAGUACUAUAUUAAAUAGGAGAGGUGAUAAAGGACAUCCUUGUCUUGUGCCUGAUUUUAAAGUAAAGGCUUUCAAUUUUUGGCCAUUUAGUAUGAUACUGGCUGUUGGUUUGUCAUAGACAGCCUUUAUUAUAUUGAAGUAAAGACCAUCAAUUCUAAUUCUCUGUAACGUUCUUAUCAUGAAAGAAUGUUGGACCUUAUUGAAGGCUUUUUCUGCAUCUAUGGAAAUGAUCAUGUGAUUCUUACUUUUAGCUUUAUUGAUAUGGUGGAUUACAUUUAUUGAUUUACAUAUGUUGAACCAUCCCUGCAUGCCUGGGAUGAAUCCCACUUGGUCAUGGUGUAUAAUCUUCUUGAUGAUUUGCUACAUCCUAUUUGUCAAUAUUUUAUUGAGGAUUUUUGCAUCUGUGUUCAUUAGGGAGAUUGGUCUGUAGUUCUCUUUUUCAGUUGGGUCUUUCUCAGGUUUUGGUACUAGAGUAAUAUUUGCUUCCAGGAAUGACUUGGGAAGGAUUGCUUCCGUUUCAAUUUCAUUGAAGAGUUUGAGGAGUGUCGGUAUUAGGUCUUCUUUGUAUUUCUUGUAGAAUUCUGCAGUGAAUCCAUUUGGGCCUGGGCUCUUCUUUGUAGGUAAGGAAUUAAUUACAUGUUCAAUUUCAUUGAUAGAGAUUGGGUUAUUCAGCAGUUUUACAUCCUCUUGAUCUAGCUUUGGUACUUCAUAUGUUUCUAAGAAUCUAUUUCUUCUGUGUUAUCAAACAUUUGAGAGUAGAGGUUUUCAAAAUAGGUGUUGAUGAUCUUCUGUAUUUCUAUUGAGUCUGUAGUGACUUCACCUUUUUCAUUUCAUAUUCAAUGGAUUUGAGCUCUUUCUUACCUUUUUAAAAUAAGGUUGGCUAGGGGUUUAUCAAUUUUAUUUAUUCUUUCAAAGAACCAACUUUUUGAUUCCUUGAUUCUUUGGAUUGUUUUCUUAGUCUCUAUUGCGUUGAUUUCUGCUCUGAUUUUUAUAAUUUCCUCUCUUCUUUUGGCUUUGGGCUUGACUUGCUCUUCUUUUUCUAGAUGUUUGAUGUGUAGCAUCAUGUUGUUUAUUUGUAUUCGUUCUGUUUUCCUGAUGUGGGAGCUCAGUGCAAUAAAUUUUCCUCUGAGAAUGGCUUUCAUUGCAUCCCAUAGAUUCCGGUAAGUUGUAUCUGUAUUUUCCUUUGUUUGUAGGUAUUGCUUAUUUUUUUUUAAUUUCCUCUCUGACCCACUGGUUACUCAGGAGUGUGUUAUUCAGUUUCCAUGUGUUUGCAGGAUUUUUGCAGUAUCUUUUAUUGUUAAUUACUAAUUUCAUGGCGCUAUGGUCCGAUAGCAUGCAAGGGAUAAUUUCAACUCUUUUGCAUUUAUUUAAAUAUGUUCUGUGAGUUAAUAUAUGGUCUAUUUUAGAGAAUGACCCAUGUACUGCUGAGAAGAAUGUGUAUUCUGUCAUUGUUGGGUGGAAUACUCUGUAUAUGUCUAUGAAGUCCAUUUGUUCACAGGUGCAAUUCAGUUCUUUUAUUUCUUUGUUGAUUUUCUGUUUGAUCUGUCCAUUGGUGUCAAUGGUGUUUUAAGAUCUCCUGUCAGAAUUGUGUUACUGCUGAUUUGGUUUUUCAUUUCUGUUAGUACUUGUUUUAUAUAAUGGGGUGCUCUGGAAUUUGGUGCAUAUAUAUUUAAGAUAGUUAUCUUUUCCUCUUGGAGUUUUCCCCUAACCAGUAUGUAGUGACCUUCUUUAUCCUUUCUGAUCAUUAUUGGCUUGAAGUUGACUUUGUCUGCCAAAAGAAUAGCUACCCCCGCUUUUUUUGGGGGGGGGUCCUGUUGCAUGGAGUGUUGUUUUCCAUCCUUUGACUUUGAGUCUGUGAGUAUCCUUUUGAGUUAGGUGGGUUUCUUGUAGACAGCAUAUGGUUGGAUUUUGUUUUUUGAUCUAUUCUGCCAGUCUGUUUCUUUUAAUUGGUGUAUUGAGACCAUUUACAUUAAUAGUAAGAACUGCUAUAAAUUGGUUUAUUGUUGACAUAUUAUCUUUCUGCUGUUGCAUGUUUAUUUUUCUGCUCUGUUCAACUAUCUGCUCUGUUUAGUGGUUUUUUCCUAAAUGUAUCUAGGCUGUCUUUCAGUAUUCUUUGCAGGGUUGGCUUGUUGUUCAUGAAGUUUUUCAGGUGAUCUUUUUCAUGGGAGUAUCAUAUUUCUCCAUCCAAUUUGAAGGACAGUUUUGCAGGGUACAUCAGCAUAGGUUGGAAAUCAUUUUCCUUUAGGAUCUGAAAUACAUCACUCCGUGCUCUUCUUGACUUUAUUGUUUGUGCUGAGAAGUCUGCUGUAUUUCUGAUAAGUUUUCCUUUAUAGGUGAUCUGUCUUUUUUCUCUGACAGCCUUUAAUAUUCUAUUCUUUUUUUCAAUUUCUGGGAUGGUCAUUAUUAUAUGUCUGGGUAUAGAUUUAUUUUGGUUGUGACUAUUUGGAGUUCUAUAUGCUUCAUUGAUCUUGAUAUCAUUUCCAAUCUCAUGUUUGGGGAAUUUUCAGCUAUUACUUCUCUAAAUAUCCCCUUGACAUCCUUUAUGUUGUCCCCUUCUUUUUCAUUUAUCCCUAUCAACCUUAUAUUGUUUCUCUUUGCGUCAUCCUGUAGGUGUUGAAUUGUUAUUUCCUAAUUUCUUGUUAUUUUUAAAAGAUCUUUUCUUUCCUGUUCACUUGUUGCAAUCUUGUCUUUGAGGUCUGAGAUUCUAUCUUCACAUUCAUUGAGGUCGUUUUUACGACUUUCAAUGGAGUUUUUGAUUUCCUGUAUAUCUCUUUGCAUCUGUUUUAUGUAUUCUGUUUGUUUCUGAUAUUGUUCAUCCAGUGAUUCUAUCUUUUUGUUUAGUUCCUCCAAUUUUUUAACUGCAUCUUCUUUAGCUAUGUUUAGCAUCUGCUUCAUUUCUUUUAUCAAUUCUUCUUUGAUCUGAGUGAAUAUUUCUAGUUUGAAUUCCUUUAAGGCUUCCCAUACUUCCUUCUUUAUUUCAGUUACCAUUAUUUCAGUCAUGUGGCAUGUGUUUUCUUCUAUGCACAUGGCUCCUGGGCUUUGUUGGGAUGGGCUGGAUGUUUGAGAUUGCAUUUUGGACUUUUGUCAUUUUCUUUUAUUUGGGAGCUUCAAGUGUUGUUCCAGGUGCAGGAGAGAUCUCCCACCAGCCUGGGAUGGGGUACCCUGCAAUGGCCCCACUCACUGGACCCAGCAGGGACUUCUGGCCUGCUCCUCAGGCCAGGAAGAGUGUCUCCUCAGGCUGGGCAGAGCUCCCAGCUGCCACUGCCACAGUCUCUGAUCUGGCCUGGUCCCUGGUCCGGUGGGGAACCGGCCUGGGUCCCCAGGUCAGGGAAAAAGUUCCCGCAGGUUGGGCAGAGCUCCCAGCUGCUGCUGUUACACUCACCCUUCCAGCCUGGUCUCUGGUCCAGUGGGGAGCCGGCUGGUUCCCAAGUGAGGGAGAAAGUUCCCAUAGGCUGGGCGAAGCUCCCAGCCGCAGCUGCCACAGUCUCUGAUCUGGCCUCUACCUGUUAGUUUUUGACCUGCUCAAAAUAUCUAGAAGAUUUCUGUUUAAUAAUUAUGUAUUUUCAGACAUUAAUGAUUCUGAAAACUAUUUUGUAUUCUUUCUGGAAACUAUAUUGAGAUUCAUAGCCAAAUAUGUUGUUUCAAUUCUGAAUAUACUUUAACAUAACUUCAUAUAAAUUACUUGAGGUACAAAAUGUUUCACAACUUGAUAUUGCAAUAUUCCUGACGUAAAUAAGUGUUGAAUUAUGUAGGUGCACUAAUGAAGGAUAUACAGGAUUAUAAAAAUAAGUUAUUUAACUCUUGUUUUGCUUUUUGAUAACACAUAGAGCCUAUAACUCUAAAGAGCUGUGACUAUAAAAUUAACUAGUGAUAAUUAAUCUUAAAAAUUUUUUACAUUGCUGAAAAGAAUGUGUAUGCAACAUAAAAUACAUGCAUAAAUGAACUACAUACAUAAUACAAUUCAAUAACUAUUCUUAAACUUAAUAUUAUUGAUUCAUUAUGGUAUUGAUAACUAGCAUGAUUUUUGAUAGAGUUAUUUCCAAAAGAUGAAAAAUAUUAACAAAAGAUGAGAAAUAUAAAAUAAAAAGCGGCCUUUAUUCUGAGAACACAGAGAGAGAUGACCGGCAACCCCACCGCUGGCGUCCUGCGAUCUCUCCGACGGACAUGUGGCGUGGGGGCCUGUAAAUAGCCUCGGUUUGGGGUGGAACCUAAGGCGGACAUUAGGGAUACACAGGUAGCCCAUUGGUCCUAGGUUUGGUGCCAUAUGUAAAUUUCCAGGGGCGGGAAGAUGGCGUCACAGGUAACUUCCUAGGGGCAGGGCAAGAUGGGGCUUCCUGCUUCCGGUUGUGGCUUUCCUGGCUACAGUGUCCUGCCUGGGCCAAAACCUUUCAAUUUUCAUGUAUCUUUUCCCUUGCAUGAAAUUCCAUUGGUUUUCUUCUGUCAUGUGUAUAAUCAACUCUGAAUUUUCAUGUUUUUCACUGGAAUACUCUGAGAGGCAGUACAGUUUGCACACAUUUUACAUAUAAUUUACACUUCUAAUUAUAGUCAGAAUCUGAGCUGAUCCUGUUAGAGUAUAUUUUUAAUUCUUGCAAAAAGUAGUAAAUGUGGGUUAAAAAUAGCUAGAGUAAAUAAAAUUUAUGAAUACCAUUAAAUCUGGAAUGUAGCCCAGGAUGAAGACCUCACCUGAUGGAAAGAUUUCAGUUUUGUUCCAUUCUUGAAAUUGUUCAGGAACACUUGAAAAGUAGAAUUAAUUUGCUCUUUGUUAUUUCUUCUUAAAAUGCCUUGCUCAGUCUUUAUUCGUAGUUUGAAUGCAAAAAAAAAAAAAAAAAAAGAAAAAGAAAAAGAAAAACUGACCCCCGUAGAAGCUGCUGUGGGAUCCUUCUGUAUCUCUAUGCAUUUUUCUACUCUUUAGUUAACUUCAAUCCUGACUUUAGGGCCUUUAGAAAAAUGGACUCAAAAAUGAUUAGACACAAUCAAAAGUAGACUUGGAGGAUUAGAAGAUAGAUUUAUAGAAGUAAGCAGAUUUUAAAGUGGCUCAGAGACAUGGAAGAGUACACGUAAAGAUCUAGCAUAUGCCCAGUGAGAAUUCCAGAAAGAAAGAUUACAAAUGAUCAAAGUGAAAUGUCUGAAGAGGUAACAACUAGAAAUUUUCUAGAAAUAAAAAAUGAAAUACGGAAGAUUGACAGACAAAUAUGUAUAACUACAAAGUCAUACUAAUCUAGAUGAUGAUAAUACAGCAAUAUUAAUAUAUACUAAAACUACCUUCAAAGAAAAUGUGUAAUUCCUUAUAAAUAGGUCAUAUUAAAUAAUGAAAGGAUGAAAUUCUUCUGGAUAUAAGUCUGAUAAACUUUACUUUGGUUAAUGCAAUAACUGCCAGUUUUGAAAAAGAAAAGAAAAAAUAAUUAACUAAAAUCACAAGGUUAAAUGAGCGCAAACCCAAUUGCAGUGAGAAAUCUUAUUAUUUUUCAGAAGGAUUACAGUGAAAAUUAGGUGUAUUCAACCAUUGCCAAGAAUCCUAAUGGCACACACCUGUAUGUAUAGACCAACAUUUGAGUGUAUGUAUCUAUCUAUAUCUGCUACAUUAAAAGCUAAAAUAUAUAUUUUCAACCAACUUUAGAAUAUCUACCAAGAUUGAGCAUAUAUAAAGGCACAAAAUCUCAUAUCCAUAGCAGAGAAUCAGUUUAAUUAAGAUCUUGUCUUGGUUCAUUUCCAAUUACUAAUAACAAUGCCGUAGGCUUCCAGGCCAAAGUCUGAAUUGCAAUUGGCUGCAUCUCUUGAUGGUCUUCUUACUGACAGCGUCCCUGAGAAAGUGCAGGGAAUCCCAUGACAGGGGCAUGAGAGAUUUGGUCAAACUAAACUUUAUAGCAUGCCUGCUCUGAAGAUAAGCCAUUAAUCAACUGGAUUUAUUCACCUAUUAGUCUCUUUCAUCCCAUUCGUACUGUGAAAUGCUAAUUACCUCUGAAAGUUCUCAUUCUUACUUUUUAAUAUAUCAUUGUAGAGAUUAAAUUCUAAUAUGAAUUUGAAGGGAAAAAAAACUUAGUAAAGUCAUAGCUGGUCCAUUUCUUUGAUCAUAAUUUGGUAAAAAAAAAAAAAAAGACAUAAGCCAUUUAACGUGAUUUUUGAAAUUCUUUAGGUUUGUCCUCAGAAGUGUUUGCCAGCACCGAAGAAUAGCACUCAUUAUAUAGUUCUUAAUUGAUUGGAUGAUGUCAGGGAAGUACUUCAGGAUGAACAUAGGCACAAGCUGGAAAUGAACAAAACUAGCUUCAGGGAACAAGGUUCACCUUAUUUAGGAAAACAAAGGAUUUUUAUCUCAGAGAGAAAGAGAGAGAGAGAGAGUGAGAAAAAUGAUUUCAGAAUGACUGAAAAGCUAAUGACUCUUGUUUGCACAUUAUAAUAUUUGAGAAUUGUUGGAAGACACACAGCAAGACAGAGAAAGAGAUUUUUAAAUCAGGAACUUUUUUUUCUUAAUGUUAAGUUUCUAGAACAUGGAAAUUCCAGCCACUCUAAAGAAAUUUAAAUUCUGUGGUGUAUAUUAUUAUGGAAUAAAGCAGAUUGCAGGCAGCCAUUGCAAUUAUAUUUUAACUUGUGGUUGAAGAUGACUCUGUAUAUGGUGAAUAUUUAUAAUUUGUGUGAUAACAUAGUCAUAUUUUUAGUGCUUUGGUAGCAAUUAGUUUUUAGCAGGCAUUUAAAAAUUUCAUUGAUAGUUCUUCAUUAAAUCAAAUGUGCUUAUUUACAUGUUUUUGAAAGAAAUCUACCCUAUUUUUACAAAUCUUUGUGUUUUUUAAACUUUGUAUUUUUACAUAUGAUUACUAUCCAGUUUAUAUCAGGCUAACAAUGUGAAAGGAAUAUUUUAUACUGUGCAGACUUGUUUUGCUUCUUAGAGUAAUAUGAUUCAUUAGCAUAAAAUUUUUGUGAGUAUAAUGCAGAAGACACGAACAAAGAGGGGAAUGAACAAUGUAUCUUAAAUGUAUGGUGUGAUGUGCUGAUGACCAUUUUAUAUCAUCUUAUCAUGGUGCAUCUUGGUGUAUUCUACUGCAUUGUCUAGCCCGACGACAGAUAUCAUGGGCACUUCUGGUGGCCUUUGACGUUUAAGAUGCUAAGUGUUAGAACAAUAUUAAACUAAUUCACCUUUUGAACUUACAGUUCCAUUAUUGUUCCCAUAUUUCUUGGCAGGUGGUCUUAAUUUGGCUCAAUGACGUGCAACUUUAGAAUCACAUUUAAAAUAAUUAAUUCAUUCAGUGUUGUAUGAUCCUUUUGAAUCAUGCUUUCUGAUAUUUAUACCAUGCUAUGUAUAUAGAGUAGCUGUGGAAUCUUACACUGAAGAGGAUACUUAGCUUUUUCUUUCUUGGACCGUCACUUGCACUGAGAGGCCGUUCGAAGCAAUGCCUUUUCUGAAAAAAAACAAAUCUCUUCACACAGGACCACUAGAAGACCUCCUUUGUCUCAUCGCUGCUUUUCCUUCACAUCAGGCCUUUCCAUUUGAUAGUUGAAUAACAUUCUGUCUUUCCUGUUAUCUGUCUUCUGUUCCACCCUAAAACAUGAAUGGCAGCUGAGUGAUGGCACGUGCCUAUAAUUUUGGCACCCGUUAGGUGAGGCAAGAGGAUUGUGUAUUCCACAUUCAAAAUAAAAGGUGAAACAGGGUCAUCGUCUACUUCUUUUUUUGUGUUCUAUGACAAAAAUCAUUGAAUAAGGAUGCCGAUUGCUCUCUGGUGUACUUUACUAUUUUUACAUAUACAAGAAUAGGGCAGCUAUUCAGGAUUACCUGGAACACCUUGACUAUAUAAAACUAACAAAGGAAAAGCUAUAUGAUUCUUCCAAUGGACCGUUUCCUCUAUGAAGGGUACUUUUCACUGGUGAUACAUCAUAGGUGUUUAAUGAAUGUUCACUGAGUGAUAAAUGAUGGAAGGAAAUUUUUCUUUUUCAUGCAGAAUGCAUUGAUUAGUAUUAAGCAUACUUGCUUAAGUACCUAUGUGCCCUCUCACACAUGAUCAUUAAAUAUUUCUGAAGCAAAAAAAUCUUGAUCAGAAAGAAUAUUUUGCAGAAACUUCUAAUGUAUGUUUUUGUGUCAGUAGCUUUGUAUUUAUUGCUAAAAUAAAACCAUUCCCUUGCCUGUGAGUAUUGGUGUAAUGUGAUGAUACAUGCCUGAACCUACUUGUACUCAGUGAAUUAUUCAUUUAAUUGAGAAAUUAUAUUUUCCUAGUAUAUAAAAAUGGUCCACAUCGAUUUGGGCAUAAUUUCCAAUAACUGAAUAUGUGGAGGUAUGGUUAUUUAAUACUAAGAGAUACAAACAUAUAAUUUUACUGGGCUUGGACACACAUUGCUUUGAAUGCAAAUAUUUCUUUAUCACUUUAACAAAAUAUGAAAAUAUAUUGAAUGAUUCACAGGAAAGAGGUGAGAUGCUUGCCCGUCACCACAUGAUGAUUCCUUUUUUUAAAAAAAAAGAAAUUCAGCAUUGUUCUAAGAAAGCAGAGUAUUUGAAUAUCCUUCCCCUUCUCAUGUAUUCAUGUUCAGGUUAUACUUAGAAAACUAGAAUUUAGAGUAAAGAAAUUUGAAUUAUUUAGAUUGUAAAAAUAAAUUAACACAUAAAUCGUUUAUAAAGUAUGCUGUACUCAGUCUCAUUAAAGUUUUAAGUAUGAAAGGGAUUAAAUAUGAAGGGGAGUAAGUAAUAAAUAUGUAGAUCUCAUUUCCAGCCAUUCAUUGCGUUUGGAAGAUGCCACUCCACCUAACAUGUUUGACGAUGGAACACUAAUGAUCCAGAACACCAGAGAGUCAGACCAAGGUUCUACCAGUGCAUGGCCAGAAACUUGGCUGGAGAAGCCAAGAUACACAAUGCCAUUCUCAAAUACUCCAGUUCUCCAAGUGAGUUUUUGUUUGUUUCUGGUUGAACUUAAUAUAAGCGCAUCAGUUAUCAAUUAGUAGAAAUUUACAGUAGAAAAUGAUUGAGACUUUUUGUGACUGGCUUUAGGGAAAAUAGAACUAACAUUUUUCCUUUUGAAGUUUAUUUUGUGUAUUGAAAAUAUGGACAUUUUGUCUUAGUUAUUUUCUUGUCACUGUGACACAGUAUCCAACACCUGCAGUUUAUAGGAGGAGAGCUUUAUCUGGGCACAGAGCUUUUGGAGGUUUUAGUCCGUAGUUGGCUGGCUCCUGAGCAGAGCAGUGUGGCAGAGGCCAUUGCAGAGAAGAAAGAGUCCCAUGAGGUUAUGGGGAAGAGAGAGAGGAAUUAGAGGAGGUGGGAGGGUGAGGUGCCUUUCCAGGCUACAUCUCCAGUUCUCCCCCAAUCAGGCUUCAUUUCUCAAAAUCACAUUGGUUGUAAACUAAUCAGUAGACUAAUCUACUGGUGAAUAUCACACACCCAUGAUCCUAGCAGCUCCCAAAAAACUCAUCAAUAAGCACUUGAGGUUUUGGGAGGCAUCUGGAUAUAAACCAUAACACACACAUACACAUACACACAUAUUUUUGGCAGUGUUAGGAAUCGAGCGUAGGACUCCUGCACAGUAUUCAAACACUUCUCACUGACCUACACCUUCAACCCUUUAAUUUCCCGCAUUUGUUCUAUUUUUUCCAGCACUCUACAGGCAUGACUCCAUGACUCCCAGACUGUGUUAUUAUCAGUUUAAUUGCACCUCUAGCUUUCCAGUAUUCUGAAGCAGAGUGGACCUGUUGCACGCAGGCAGCAGUAUUAUCCUUUUCAGAAAUUUAGUCUAUCCGACAUUCAUAUGCCUACAUUAUAAACAUACAUUUGUGCCAGCUGAACUAACAUUGAGAAUCACAUAUCCCUUUACCUCUCAAUAAGCUUUGUUAUAAUUUCAAUGAGUUAUGUAGGAAAUUAUGGUAACUGUGCCUCCCCAUUAAUGUCACUACAAGAUUUGUAAAUAAACUGGGCAUGGUGGCACACUCCUGCAAACACAGCACUCAGGAGGUUAAGGCGGGAGGAUCACUGUGAGUUUAAGGUCAGCCUGAAUCAUAUAGUGAGACUCUGAAACAAAUGAUCAAACAUUUAGAAAUACAUUGUCUCUUGUCUUCGGAGAGUAUAGUCUAUGAGGCAGUAGCCAUAUUUCAGUGAAAUGUUAAGUUUUGGGAUGUGUUAGGAGAGUGGGUGGAAGCGUAGGUCACGGUUUUAUGCUAGAAAAUGUUCCAAAACUGGGUCUGAGGUGUGCAGACCUUUGAUUUGCAGCGUUUGCCCAUUUCUAUAAGACUAAUAAUCCCUCUGGGGCUAAUUUCCAAUCUCCAACAUAGCACUGAAUGUGGAGCCGAAAAGAAAUAUGCAGGAGCUCACUAUGAUGCAGCUUUGCUAUCAUAAGGACAUAAAAAACACAGAUAAUUUCAGGCUCAUAGAUCAUAGAAAAAUGCAGUAAAAUAAUGAGAAGUAAUGAAUUGUAAAAUACAGCUUUGAUGCUGAGAUUUACUUAAUCUUAAGGUUAUGUAAUUUAACUUUCAAUAAUGACUGCUAAAAGUCAAUUUGCAGACGACUGAAAAUUUGCUAACUGGUUGUCAAGAGCUAGGUCUAGCAUAUCACUUAGGAAAGGUGGCAACAGCAGAUAAAUCUGAGACCACUGGACAGUGUUAUUAAUAGCAACAGAGAUAACAAACAAGAUGAAAUGAGAGAGGAAGCAGACUUAGAGAGUCCCGUGCGGUUGAGAAAGGCUUGUCCAGCAAUGGUACAUCUAAGCUGAAAGGAAGGACAAAUAGGAGAUAGAAAGAUAAGUAGAGGCACAAGCAAUGUGUUAGGAGAUAGGAGGCUUAGGGGAGACAGAGAUAGGAGGCUUGGGGAGUACCCAGGGACACCUAGAGCCCCACUGAUUUGGGGAGGCACAAGGUGGCUUGGAUUCUUCAGAGUAUUUAAUACUGACUUAUGUAAGAGUUUCUUCCCGUGAGAUCUCUGACAGCAGUUCACAAAACAAACAGGAGGACUCAGAAUGAUGAGGAAGUCAGCCGGCGACUGUUCCAGUGUGCCAGAGAGCCGGCCACAGCACAGAAAGGCAAAGCUAAUGGGGAAAAUGCAUUGAAUCAAGAUUUACUCUGGCAGGAGAAAGCCUCUGCAUUGGGGUUGACUAAAUAUGGGAUUCCCUUUCCUAGUGUCUCAUGACUUCUUUCUUAUUAUUAGUAUGUUUUAUGAUACUAAUAAUUACCUUCAUUUUGGGGAACGAGUAGCCAUGCUUAUCACACCUUGAUAAUUUUUACUUCUUUUCCACACUUUCCCAUCUGCCUCCUUUCGCAGAUCCCUCUUCCAUCUCUGCAGAGUCCACCUCCAUGGUGCCCAUCAUCCAUCUUUUAUUCUCUUUAAAUUAUAUAUAUUUUGAUUUUCUCAUAUAAGAAAAAUCAUGCAAUAGUUCAUCUUCUGUGUCCGACUUAUUUCACUUAGCAUUAUAGUCUCAAAGUACAUCCACUUUUUAAUGAUGAGUCAGACUUAUCCUUCUUAUGACUGAGUAGUACUUCUUAGAAUUGCAUAUAACUAUCACCUUUUCUUUAUGCAUCCAUGUGUUAGCAGGCCUAUAGGCUGCCUCCAACAUUCAGCCAUUAGGAUUUGUGCUGCUAUAAACAUGGGUGUCAAUGAUAACACGAUAUCUUUAACUUUUUCAGUGUGUUGCCCAGAAGGGCUAUGACUGGGUUUGAACAGAAUUUCCAUUUUUCUGCUUUUUCUUGAGGGAUCUCUAUACUCAUUUCCACAGCGGCUGCCCUAGUGUACAUUGCACCUACAGUAUAGAAAGGUUCUAGUGGUGCAUCCAGGAGCUCCUUCCAAAGCUUCCCUCCUUUCUGCCCCUAGGCAGAGCCUGAUGCUGCCGCUCUGACUUCCAGGACUCCGCAUCCUCUCCCUCCUUUCCUUGAACCCCUAAAUUUUCUCCUGCAUGUGUGUCAGAUUAUCUCCCUCUCUGUUCCCACUAUCACUGUCUUACUUCAAAAACCCUUCUUAUUUCUAUUACAGUAGCUUUCCCUGGGCUGUCCUUUGUCUCCUGGCAGCUUCACCUACAGGAAUUUAUAUCUAUCUCUAAUAAAAUUAUUUUCCAAGUGAGCUGUAUUUUUUUUCCUUUUGGUACCAGGGAUUGAACUCAUGACUGAGCACUUGUCAGGCAGGCACUUAUGCCGCUGAGCUGAGUCCCUGGCAAACUGUAAAUUUUUCCACGUCCGGCGAUUUGUUCUCUGAUCGUGAACAUACAAGGAAGAGAGUGUCUGUUCUUUGACUUUGUAUCUUUCUGAUACUAAAUUUUUUUCUAGUGCACUUAAGGCAUUCGUUUUAUUAGAAAUUGAAUUAAACCUUCAUUAUUGAGUAGAGAAGGCCAAGGGAUUCCAACUUGCCAGAAUACCUUCAGCAGGGAGGCCAAGGAGUCCUGAGACUCACUCCAUUAGCGUGUUAAGCUCUGUAGCAGCCUUUAGUUUCUGCUUGAGAGUCACAUUUUCAAUUAGAAAGAGUGAAGGUCGUUAUAUGGAAUUCCAGAUUUUCUGCUCACUCACUGAAUCAGCUCUCAAUAUAUUCAGGUGAAAGUAGAUGAAAAUUUGGCUCUACACAGCCUAACACCUUGGGUGUGUGUUUGUGUGUGCGUGUAUGUGUUUUCACUGUUUGCAGGGUAGUCUGUGCAGAGCUGCCGCAUGGAUGGCCCCAGUGAUCCAAUGAUAGUUUUCUACUCCUCACUCCUUUGCACAUAAGCCUCUUUUUACCCUGUAAUUGUCACUUGUCACAAAGUUGCUUCUGUAAUCCAAGCGCAUGACUGAGUACCAGGUAACAACAGGAAGGAAAACAGUGACUAGCUAGAUUUAGGCUUAGGAAAGAAAAUGUCUUUUUAGGAUGUGUGCCUAUAUCUCAUUGCCAGAAUUGUGUUUUGUUUUUUUUUUAAAGAUGAGUGUUUAAAAAUGGUGCAAUUACACACUUAGCCAUUAAGUGUAGAUAUUGAUUGAGCACUGUGUAUUGCCUAUAACUCAAUAAUCUUAAGAUGAGAUCUUUUUAAAGGAUAUCUGCAGUUAUAUGAAAUCCACAUUUAAUUUAUUUAGAUUUAAUUCUUUCAUAUUUAAUGUGUAUAUAACAUUUUAGUGUUAAAACAUUUUGAAAAGGACAAUAAUCUUAAAAUCACAAUGCAAAAUAAACAAUUCUUCCUGACUGUUGUUGGCUGUAUUUGGUUUUGUUUCCCUUUCAGUCUUAGCCAAACCCAGCUUUGUAAUCCAGCCCCAGGACACGGAGGUUUUAAUUGGCACCAGUGCAACUCUGGAAUGUGUGGCCACAGGCCACCCUCCUCCACGCCUGACCUGGACAGGAGCAGUGGGGAGUUCCUGGACCCAGCCAGGCGCUCGGUAACUCCGAGUGGACUUCAUUUGCAGAACAUCCCCCUGGGGGAUCGCGGUGGAUUUACCUGUCCUGCCAGCAACAGCCGGGCUCUGCUCGAGCCACAGCAAACAUAAUUGUACAAGGUGUGGGAGCAGAAGGUCACGGUGGGAAUGCUUUUCCUGCCACACUCAAAAAAUUAUUUUUCAAGUUAAAAGAAAUAUCACAUAUGUCAGGGGAAGAUAGUUUUAUUUGCCAAGUAUUUUUGGACAUAAUAGAAUUUUCAAGACCAAUCUGCUUCAACAUAAAAGUUGAAUUUUUUUUCCACUUCAGCAUUUAUUCAAAUGCCAGGACCAACCAUUAGUAAUAAAAGAUGAAGUCAUUAAUCUGGCAACACACUGUCAAAAGAUAUUUGUGGUUUAGAGUAUUUUACAGAUAAAGGGAAGACACUCCCUCUGUGAAAGGGGAGAGGCAUGACCUCAGUUCAUAAUCAUUUACCAAGCUGUCUGUUCCACAUGGCCUGAGAAUAUGCUGAGGGCUCUCAGCGAUAAUGACCCCAUUCAUAAACUAUCCUACUUUCAGAAACUAAGUAAAUGACAGGCAUGGGUAUGCAAUUAUUAUAUAAGGAAGAUACGUUCUUCCGCUGUAAUUUUGUUCUUAGUUGGAGGCUGUCUUCUACUUUCUGUUUCUCUGAGUGAGUGUGUGUGGGUGUGUGUGUAGCUGAAUAUAUGUAAAUGUCAUGAGCAAGGCCAUUAGUCCCCAUAAGUCCUGUUCUAUCCAUGACUUUUUUUAAAUCAUCAGAUAAUAGUAUAAUAAUUUACAGUUGUCCAUUUAAAAGAUCUCCUGCAACCAUGGAAUAUUUGACUUAAGAAAUUUGCUAUUUUUGAUUUACAUAGGAUGUUAUUCAUCAAAGCACCAGAGCCACAGAAACACUGAAGAAAGUCAGUCUAGCGUUAUCUCUCUGGGCAGCCCAGUGUUGACGGAAGCUCAGCACAGCGAGUCCCUGUUACUUAAGCACAGGACUUUCUCCUGCCUAGGUUUCCUGCAUCACCAAGUGGUUUCUGCAUUGAAUGGCUUGGUGCCAACAUCUUCCACAGAGAUAGAGGAUCAUUCUCUUGUUGCAAUUAGCAUGUCUGAGAAAAUUUGUGUUUUUCUUCUAGAAAUGCUAACAUCAUGAAAACACUUUGCUUGCUCUUAAAAGAAGGUGUAAAAAUGAAAACUUUUCCAAAGUGUUUCGUAACUCCUAAGGGAAAUUACUUUUUAAGGUCCCAAGCAUUAUUUUUAGACUUGUUUCAGUGUGCAGAGAUUGAAAAAUGCUUUAGAAGAAAUAGUGCUUAGUUUCUGUUUUCCUUGCAGUUUUACAUUUAACGCCUUAGAUUUUUAGAAACCUAAGAGCCAACCGAAAUUUGCAUGUUAGCAGUGUUUAUUUCACACUAUGCUGGUCUGGAGCAUUCCAGCUUCAGCACCUAGUUCCUACUUUUUCUGUUUGUCCAUCUGCAUCCACUGAUGUUUAACUAAACCCUGGGAACAUUUGUAGAAGGCUUGCUUCACACAUCACAACACUCCUCAUUUCUUUUUGCCAGUCAAUUUACACUGAAAUCACCAUCUGCUUGUUUUUUGUCACUUGCAACUAUCUACUUGUGUCACUUGUGGAUCUGUGUAUUGAUAUUCUUAAUUAGUCUGGAGAUGCUUCAUUAAUCAUUCCAUUCAUUUUUAAAAUAGACUUCUCUGUUUGCUUACUAUAUAGACUAAAUAUCUUAAGACGUACCCUUUUUGUACAGGGAUGUACCAGGGCUUCUAGCAAUUUUUCUUUAGUUCUUUUAAAGUUUGUUGAAGCCAAGGUCACAGUAUCCACUGGUAACACUAGUUCCCUGGAGUGGUUGGGAAAAUGAUAAAUACGUUACCAAAACAAAAAAAGCUAAAUAGCUUCAAUGAGAGGCAUGAAUCCUAGCCUGCAGUGUUUAGGUGAAAGCCUAUUGUCUUUUAUAGUGUAAACCAAGUGCUUUUUGUCAGCAGAAUCAUGGUCAUGAAUAGCCAGAAGGAAGGAUUUUAAUAGAGUAGCAAAUGCGUCUCAGUGUUUGCUGCUUUAGUGUUGAAAGUGGGAUUCACGGGUGACUUUUCCAUGAAAGAGUCCUGACCGGCCCUCUUCCUUUCCUGCCUGAUCCCUGCAGCCUCCUUACCUGCCUGUGCAAUGGUUAGUUUUUAGGGUUUUUUUCUUUUCUUUUUCUGUCUCUCCUGUUACAUAGAAAUUUCUCAACAUAUUUAGCCAAUGUUAGGAAUCAAUUUAAGCUCCACAGUUAUGUAAUGUUUUGCUUGCAUGUAGAAUAUUAAGAUUUCUUUCCUUUCCUGUUUGCCUCUUUUCCUCUUGCACACGUGACACAAGACUGCUUUUUCCCUCAACUUGGCAAACUGAAGUUUAAUUAUUAAAAAGUUGGAAUCAAAACUUCCGAUAUUAGAACCUUGACUCAAUGUCAUUUAACUACCAACCUACUUUCAUUACACAGCUUUUAUUCUGUCAUAAAUGCGUGUUUUACUGCAGAAAUAUUUUUGUUCUUUUUAAAUCAUUUCUAGUAACUUAGGGAGUUAGUUUAAUGUUCUGGAAAGAACAUCAGGCUGGAGGUUAAGUGACCUAGAUUCUUAUACCAUCCUUGUCACUUAUUAUCUGACUGAGAGGAAUUCAAUUCAGUUUCCUCCAGUCUGAGUCUGUUCACCUAUGGAAUAAGGACCUUGAGACUGCUGGUCUGUGGGAUAGUUUUUGACCUGAGUUUUCUGGAUGUCUAUUACAAAUACCUGGUACACACUCCUGAGGGUCAUCAGGAAUCUGUGUGACUUUGUAAUCAAUCAUAUAUUGUAAGUAUUUAGCCUAGCAUCCUACUUUUUGAAGACUUUCAAAAAGCAUCCUUGUUAUCGGCACAUAGUAUGCAGCUUACAACAAAUAUCUUUUCCAAAUAGUAUUUACUUUUUAUCAUCUUUGUUGUUUUUGAAGAUGCUGAUGGAAACAAGGGGUGCUAGAAAUUGUUCAAAGACCUAAAACACCAGAAAUGAUUUAUUAAGUUACCUGCAAAGUUCUUUUGAAAAUAUCACUACUUAUUGGAGAUUACUGUGUUUUUCUUAAAUGGCCAUAUUGAUUUUUUUCCUAGUAUUCAAAAUGUCAUGAGCAGAAUCCCUUUCUGUAAAUUAUGUGUGAGGCUGUACAUUUUGCACUGUUUAUACAGAAUCAAGUACAAAAGAUCUGAAUCUUGACUUGUGUGACCUUUACAAAAGUUGUAAGAACGUUAAUACUAACGACCAUGCAUUUCUUUCUGAAAUUUGUUUCAAAUAUUGUGUGUGCAAGCUGGGAGAAAAUUAUUUUGCUAGUCAUUCAAAUAUAAUUUGGGGUUUUGAAUAUGUGUAUUUCACCUACCACGUAGAGGGAAGAUUUAAUCAUAUCAGCAGCUCUCAUAAGCUUCUUAUUGGGUGUUGUUUUUCAGCUUUGCAAACCAGGUGUACAUAUAUUUUUGUAAGUAAGCACAAAAAUACACAAAGAACUCCAUGUUUUUAAUAGUUUGAGGAAUCAAACUUUGGAAACAAAUUCUAAUUUCACAGGAUAUUUUUUUCUCUUGGUUUUAAAAGUUACAAAAUAACUUUCUUUCUGGAUGCACUCUGUCUUUCUCUUUAGCUCCACUAUGAUUUACUGAAAGCCUCAGGGAUCAAGCAGUCCUUGGGGGGACAUGCUGUGGAAUUUCUGUGUGAAGCAGAAGGGCAUCCACAUCCAGUAAUUUUCUGGACAAAAGCAGGUAUCAGCACAUUGUCAAGUGAUUGUGCGGAAGAAUGAACACCUUCUUUUUGGGUGAGGAAGAGUACAAAAAUGGUUUAAAGUAAUUAUGAUGGAUCCAACAUGAACAUAAACACAUCAUCCAAACAAGUAAUCUUUAUAUAUAACAUGAUCAUAAUUUUCCUGAUACUUUCAUUUUAGGUGCUAAAAAUGUGGCUUUCUUGAAAUCAUCCUUUCUGAUUUUAAAAGUAAAAUUUUCAGAAAUUUCCAUGCUUUUACAAUUCUUAAAAAAUACCAAAAGCUAGUCUACAGACUAUUUCAAAUUUUUUUUAAAAAAUUGCCUUUUAACUAGAAUUUAAAAAUCUUCCCUUAGUACAGAAUGAAUCAUAAUAAAAAGUGAGACAAUAAGUGAUUUCUCAGCUUGAUAAAGCUCUCAUAAUAAAGCUGCUGUCCUGGAAAAAAUUGGUAGUGGGACAAGGUGGGGGUGGGUACACCAGGGAGCUGGUACUGCCAGGGAGCCUGAGGACUAGAGACCAGGACUCACUAUGGGCUGGAUGACAGCUUGUUUAAGAUUCUUCUGGACUUGGAAAUUCUAAAUUCUAAAUACACACUUAGGUACUAGAUUAAAUUCAAAAUAUACCUGCAUCCUAAAUGUUAUUUACUAAAAUUUUUGGUGUAGUCUUUAAGAAUCUGGUGAAGCACAAUAAUGUAUAAGAAGUAGAUCUGGGAGCCCCAACCAAGUUACAUGUCUGUACUCCUCCAUCCACUAGUGUGACUUUGGCCAAGGUAUUUAACUGUUUUUAACCAGGGACCCCUUUUUGCUGUGCUGAAGAUGAUGCUAUUUCCCACAACAGGAUGAUCUGAAUGUGCGUGUAUUUUCAAACAUUAAGAACAGUAGCUGACACACUCUGUGCCCAUUCAAUAAAGGUUAGCUCUCAUUUUCUCAUUCACAACAAGCCACUGAGUAAGAUACAAGUUUUCACUGAAAUUGCUGAAAGUGACAACCCCAUUUAAUACUGACCACAAGCAAUAAUGUGAUGAGAAGGAUUCCGAGGCUUAGUGUAUGCUCAAGGUCAGAAAGAUGAGGAUCUAAAGUCAUGGGUGUGAAACUAAUCAGCGGGGGUGUCACAAACGCAUCAUACUUAAAAUGUUACCCAGUACUCUGAAAGUUCUGUCACUGUUUAUAUUCCAAAUAUAUAUACAUGUGCAGAUGUUACAGAGGUAUUUGAAAAUUGUGUUUAAUAAUCAGAUCAGUUUUGAAAUGUGAAUUCUAGCUGAGGUUAGUGAGCAAUUCAUUAGGAAGCUACACUCUUCUGGUGGUAAGAGGAGGUACUUCCUAGGAGGAGAGUGGCAGAGGUUGGGGGAAGGUCAAGAGUGGUACUGGAGAUGCAGAGAUGCAAUGAUGGGAGGAGCCAUCGUAGUGCAAAGAUGACAUCAAGGAUGUCCUGAGAGAUGGGUCUCCAUCCUUAGCCAUACAUGCCACAACACUGUGUCCUAUCUUUUCCUCUUUGCAGGAGGGCAAAUCCCUUUGCAGGGUCUGCAUACAGUUCCGUCUUCUGGGACUGAGAAUUAAUCACGCUGCACAGCACCAUCAAGGUCAAUUUGAAUGUCAAGCAGUUAAUCCAUUGGGGGUGAAAAGAGUGUCUGUCCAGCUGACUGCGAAACCCAAAGUCCCAGAUUGGCUGGCUCCAAGGCAGAGACGUCAUCAUGAAAGGUCACGGUUCUCGUAUGAAAACCCUGGAGUGUUUACCCCAGCAGAACUCACUCGGCUGAAGCAGGUGUCACUGGGCCAUGUGCUUUGUGACAACGGUGGCAUAUUCAGCAAGUCCAGGCAGACGUCUUUGUAAGAGCGUGAUACCCACAGGACCUCCUGGGCUGCACUGAGAUCCCGAGGAUGGACUUGGGAGUGUGGCGAGACUGCCUUGAAGGUGAUACAAAAAGCUUGUUGAAAUCAAGGUGAGAACAAACCUCACAGCAGGAGAAAGAGUGCUAACCAGCCCUCAAAUGAAUGUUAAACAGGAUGAAUUCAAAAGGUGAUACAGUCGAUGAGACAAUCUCUACUGAUAACAUCAAUUUCAUAUAAGGUAUAAUUUAUACAUUUCUCUUAACAUUCUGAGGAAGAGUUAUCACUGAAAUACAGAAUUCUUCAUUUAUUUACAAAACAUGAUAUUAUAGGGGAAAAGUUUCAAUGUCAAAAGUAGGUUAUGCAUAAUCAAAGUUUCCUUAAAUUGCUUAAGUUAGGAAAAUGGUCUCUUACUUUUCCAUCAGAUCCAUGCCUGUAGUACAUGUAAAAUAAAACUUGUAAAUACUUAUAACAUUUAGAGUUGCUAAUACUGUCCAAAUAUUGAUAGUUAAUGAUAUUUAGCCUCAAAUACUCUUAUGAGAUGUAAAUUAUUUAGUAAAACAUGGAUAUUUGCCCUCCAAAUUACUAGGGAAAUCCAAUAUGUGGAAGCUAAAAUAAACAUUAUAUGAAAGUACCAUAAAUAAAAUUAGGAGAAACUAUGAAAGCCCAGAGGUAGUUGAUGUUUUAAUGCAUUCAUAAAAUUAUUAACUGUGCUUCAAAGACCCUAUGGCAAAAGCUUGAUCAAUAGCAUGGUGCUACUGGGAAGUGGUAGAAACUUUAGUUGGUGUCCCACUGGAAGGUCUUUAGGCCACUGGGGAGUAUGUGUCCUGGAAGAGGGUUAUGGGGUCCCAAUGUCUUCUUCCUUUCAUUUUCUUAUCAUGAGGUGAGUGGAUUUGGUUUGCCAUGUUCUUCUGCCAUGAUUUUUACCUUGCCGCAGGCCAAAGUGAUGGGACCAAUUAAUCUGGGACAGAUAUUUUUUAUAGUGACAAAAAUCUGACUAACUGAAAAUUAGUACCAAGAAGUGGAAUCAUUGCUGUGACGUCCCUGAUGAUAUGGAAAAGUCUUUGGAACUGGUCAACAAAAGGAAUUAGAAAAUAUUUGGAAAAACAGCAGGAGUUUGGAAUACUGUGAAAGCUCAUAGCUCAGAAGAACAGAAUGCUGAUAGGAAUGUAGAUAGUAAAGGUUGUGCUGUUGAUGCUUCAGAUAGAACUGAAGAUUCUUUUAAGAAUUAAACUAGAAGUCACAUUGUUCUUCCAUGGCAAAGAGUCUGGACACUUUUAUCCAUAUCCUGAGACUUUGUGUGAAGAGGUCAUGGCUUGUUUAACUGGUGGAGAAAAUCUUGAGACAAUACAGCAUUAAGGCUCUGGUAUGGAUAUUACCAAAUGCUUCAAGACAGAUUUACAUAGAGACCUAGUAGCAAGGAUGAGUAUAGCAGAUAUAUUUGCAAAAUAUUUGUUGAGUGUGUCCUGUACUUUCAUGUGUAGGACAUAUACAUUUAUGCAAACACACACACACGCAGACAUACACAUACAUACCACUAUUUUUCUUUGAAGUGAGUCAUACGGAUUUAUCUUCAUCCAUGCUUGCUGUAUGAAUCUUGAAAUACUUAGUUUACUUUUCUCUCAUUGCUGCAACAAAAUAUCUGAUGCCCAAAUUAAAAAGGUAAAGAUUUAUUUAGCUUACAUUUUGUGGAGGUGUCAGUCUAUAUCAGCUGGCUCCAAGGCAGAGUAGCAUGGCACAGGGACAACAGCUCAUGACAGUGGAAGAGAGAAAAAGGAACAAGAGCAAAAAAGGGAAAGAGCCAGCCUCUUUUCCUCCAUAGGCUAUCCACCCUAGGGCAGGUCCUUUAUACCCGUCUCAUCUCCAUUCCCUCUUCUUGCACAGACUGAGGGUGUUUACCUACUGAGUGAGGACCCUCUGCCCCUGGUAAGUUGCUUAGUAAAACUUCUACAUAUCUCAGUUGACACAGUGAAUCAACCAUUGUAACAUCCUAGAGCCUAAAUAGCUAUGCCAUGUCCUCUAUACCAUAGGAUACAAAAUUGCUGAGUCAUUUAGGGAAGCUUCUAAACUUCUUAAAUUGACACACCACACUCUCUCUGCUCUGUUUCAUGCCCCAAGUCAUACGUAGACAGAAAUUUGACCAUGUGUUUGAGUCAGUCUAUAUUUAAGUCGUUUCCUUUUACUUUUAAUACUAAAUAAUGCCAACAUCAUUUCCCAAGUAGCACUAGCCAGAAAUGGGGGAAUUUAUCCUGUUACAGUUUUUUUUUUUCACUCUGUGCUUUAGUGUACAGCUAAGAGGUUGCAAUUUCGAGUUAAACUGUAUGAAUUCAAAUCUCUUUUGUUAAAAAUCCAUAAAACUUUGAACAAAGUAUUAUAAUUUCUUUGUUUUCUUAAGCAGAGGUAAAAAUGGCAAUCAUAUUCAGGUAGAUAAUGUGUACAAAGACCAAGAACAUAACUUAAGAACCCGCAUAUGCAUGAACACAUAGAAAAAUACAUUUCAUGUAUAUGCAUAUUUAUUUAAGAUAUGUAUACAUAGGUAUAAAACCAACACAUCUACCAAAUUAACAUGCUAGUCACAAAUUGUUCCCUUAGGAUCCAGACAUUUAGCAAUCAAGGAUGUUCUACUUAUUUUUGGAAGUAAGUAGGAAUAAACAAACACCAAGCAGAUUUUUUAAAAAAGACCUGUAAAACAGAACAACUGAUCUGUCAUGUUUAAAGAGAGAUACAUGGUCAUCUUUUUGCCCUGGGCUUUUUCUGUGCACAUGUAGCUGCCUAUUAGCCUGUGAUUUCAUACACUACUUUCUGCUCUUGGGUUUUAUGUAUGUGACCUUGUGCAUUCUUUGGAUGCUUUGAAAUAAAUACAUUCUAAAUCUCAUUUUUCCAAAAAGAAAUAAAUAAAUAAGAGACAAUAGAUGAUCAGAUGAUCUGCAGUUUCUUUUGUUGCUUUUUUCCUUUUUUGUGAAGAUUGGAGGGUAACAUAUUUAGUUUACCAAGAAAUGCUCAAUUAAGUUAUAGUGAGCACCGUAAAUUCUUCAGAAUGAAAACCAUGCUUUAUUAAUUUUUUAUUUUCUCAGUGAUUUCUUAUCCAAUAUCUUAAUAAAGUCUUCAUAUUUAUUAACAAAGAAAUGUACUACUUCAAAGUAAAAACAAAAAAAGGUCUCAUUACAUGAGUAACAUUUACUUUUUUACUAAUAUUAUGUAAACAUAUCAAUUUACUCUUUUCUUGUCAUUCAGGUCUGCAAAUAAGUAUGGACUGUGAUUAAUAAUACGGUAUUCAGUUGAGGUAAUAGUGUAACAGUAGGGAAAUAGGCACCUUGGGAAUCCCUUAGUAUAAGGCGUGGUUACAUCGAGACUGUGUCUUCCACAUUGGUACGAGUAACAAGAGAAGCAUCCUAUGAUAUGCCUGUGCUACCAGGUCACUGGUAAGCCACCUAGACAUGGUAUGUGUUUGCUGCCACCCUCCCAACUCUGUUGCUGAAUAUUCUUUGGAAUUUCACAUCUUUCAUGUCACUUGUUGAUUGUCUAGAAUCCUUCACCAAGACUUGUUUUGUUAAAAUCCUUUAGAUUUUGAAAUUAUCUAGUCUUUUUGUCAAAAUUAUAUUUCCAUAAGUCUCUAUUCAAUGAUUGCAAUUGACAAUGAUUGAGUAAACUUUGGUUCUUUGAUUUGUCUUCAGUGAACUGUUUUUGGAUUCUAUAAAACAAGUUUAUUUUACUGAAAAUAGAGACAGAGCAAAAGAUAGAAGUAGAAAUCAAACAAUGAAAACUAAUAGCAACCAUUACUGAUAUUUUAUUUAUAUCGGUUAUUAUUUUUGAGAUAUUUUAUUUUGUGCCCAAAUUGUAUAACACACAAAAUAUUAUUUUUAAUCUAAUUUUUGUACCAUUUGAAAUUCAUUGUGCUAUUCAAAAUUCCAUCCUAAAUGUCAUGUUCAUCUUUGCUUAAUAAUGUACCAUAGGGCAUAUUCCUCUUGAAUGUAAUUUACAUAUGAUAAGGCAAAGAUUUGUUUUUUUACUUCUUCAUUAGGAAUAAUUUGCCAGUAUUACAACACAAAUGGUUGUACUGUCUCUCUGCUAAUUUAUGCUGUCCAGUAUAUCUUCAAGUUGACUGCAUAGAUUGUAGAACCUUUGAAAUUAUUAUCAGAUCCCACUGGGUGUAUUUUUUUCCACUAACUUGAAAGUGUUAGUAUCUGUUUGUGGUACGUAACUAUUACAUUCAUAUUGGAGAACUGGUGCACGUACGUACUGCAUCUUGAUCACUUUUACUCCCUCUCCCUGCUUUCAUCCCUCUGUGGAAAAGGAAGCAUAAAAAAUUUUGUGUUGCAAUUUUACCAUCAGGGAAGUUAGAUUCCUAUAACAUUAUUUGCCAAAGUGCCUUAGUUUUUAGUAUGUUUUCCAUAAAAUAGUAGAGAACAUUUCAUUUUAACAGUUUCAUAUUUGCACAAAAAAUGCUCAUGACUUUUACUGGAGUAAAAAUCACCUGAUAUAGAAUUUACCUUCUCUCCAUUCUGAAAUGCAUGGUACAACAAUGUAAAGUAUGUGAACACUGUAGUUUACUAGAGAGCAUUUAAGAAACAAAUCCUUGGUAGUAGGUGUGAUUGAGACAGUUUGAGGGGCCCCCAAAUGUCCCAACAUCCCACCCACACAGCUUCUGCUUCUUUCUUCAUCAUGUCAAGUAAAUAAAAGGCACCGUGUGAUUCAUGCCUUUGCUGACAUUCUGCACCACUCGCUCUGUGGCUCCUUGACUGUGUGUGGGGAUGGUCUCAUAUCCUGUGUUCUGCUGGGAAAACAGAUUCGGACACGUGCAAAACCAUGCUUCUGAGGCUGUGGGCAUUCAGUGACACUGACCUGACCAAAGGACUCCCUUGCCAUGGCUCUUCUCUCUCUGAUGUUUAUGUGUGUGCACCUCUUUUCCCAUUAUAAGAAUACCAUAGACAGGAAGGUGACAAGUCUUCUCAAAUGAUGUUACUGUGAAUAUUUUUCCCCCUAUAGACUGUAGGAAUAGAGGACAAACCAAAACAUCCACACCAGAAUCUCAAAACAGACAUUCUGCUUGAUACAACUAUCUCAUCAAGAAAGACACGGACUUAAAUGAUUCAAUUAGUGGAUAAACAAGCUGGAGGCAUGCCUGAGGCAGGCAGGAUGCACGGAUGAUAAAGGACUGCAAAGGCAGGACCAAGAGCACUGGAUGCCUGGAUGAGAGGAGAUUGUGUGCAGUGUACCUGUGAGGUCUGAGCUGCCAGAAAUUCCCCAUCAUUGCCAUGCUUUGUUUCUCUAGCCUGUCAGUUUAAAUACAGCUGAAAAUUCAAGAACAGAAAACAACAUCCUCCUUGUGAGUGACCUCUAGGAUAUUUAUAAGAUCGGAAUAGUGUUGUGGGACUUCAAAGCUUCUUACUGUGGACAUAAAUGUAGCUAUAGUCAUAGUAUUUGCAGACAUGAUGAGCUCCUUUUAUUUUUUCACUAACAGGUGAGGGAUCUUAGGGUGUUGAUGCCACUUGACCCAGGUCACACAGGAAACUGAGGCAGAAGGAGGUGGGAUUAUCUCAUUAUUUUUCAGUCAGACCUAUCAAAAAUGUUUCCUGAAAGCAUUUGUAAAUCAACACAGUUUCUAUGGAAAUAUAAAAAUGUGUUAUUAUUUCCAUGCGAAUGAAAAAUAAUUCUUUUUGCUUCCGAGCAGAGAUGAUUUCUACCAGCUCUUUGGAAAUAUGUGAAAUUCCUCCAGAAAUCCAUGCUGCAUAAUAUCACAGACCACAUCAUACAGUUCCGCACUUGCACCUUGCUCUACAUGCUGCACAGUGACACAAAGAGUGGCCAAGUCAUGCAUGGUGCGGAUGUGUGCAUCGGCUCUGUGUCCUAGUCCUGAACUAGUGAAAGGUACCUGUUGUCCGGUUUGCAGAGAUCAAGGAAUGCACGUGGAUGCAAUGGAGAGACAAUGAUAAUAUCUGAUCAAGCCCUUGAGGAGGGUCUUCUCAAGAGAAGCCACUCAGGAUCCACACUUUUCACCUAUAGACAUGUCCUUCAGAUGGGAAACACUGAUUUAAGAGCAAAUCAAUGCAUUUGAACCAUAGACAUACUGAAGAUUUUUUAUGUUUUUGUUUACUAACGAGACCUGAAAUAGUGCAAAACUAGAGACUAUAUAGAGCAUAGCAAUUAUCUUAAGAAAUAGUUCUGAUUGUAAGCCUUAGGUUUUAUAUAUUGCAUGUGGAGAUAAAAAUAUUAUAUACUAUUCUACAAAUAUGAUUGUUGUGGAAAAUAUCUGUCAUGGUUUAUGUUGGUGGCCCCCCAGGCCUCAUGCAUUUGCAUUGUGCAUUUGUGAUUGGUUCACUGUCUAGAGCUUGGAUUGAUGGUGUCAGUGCUACACCCACCUGGGGUGGAGCCAGCAUGCAAUGUAAUGGCGGGAAGAAGGUGUGUCUUGCUCUCUUUUGCCUGUUUCCUCCUUGCUGUUUGCAGCCACCAUGAACUGGGGUCCAGCCAUGCCAGCCUGCCUUGGAGAAAACUGAGUGUGGACUGAAACCUCCAAAAACUGUAAGAAAUAAACCUUUCCUUUCCCAA
This is an RNA transcript of Cavia porcellus (domestic guinea pig), 29284 nucleotides long. RefSeq lists it as uncharacterized. The transcript is spliced from 10 exons. NCBI's taxonomy places the organism in Eukaryota, Metazoa, Chordata, Mammalia, Rodentia, Caviidae. The record is from RefSeq and is a predicted model, not a curated record.